GGGUCGUUAGCUCAGUCGGUAGAGCAGCGGACUUUUAAUCCGUUGGUCGAGCGUUCGAAUCGCUCACGACCCAC
Molecule: transfer RNA, 74 nt
Filed under: Neisseria meningitidis
Lineage: Bacteria; Pseudomonadati; Pseudomonadota; Betaproteobacteria; Neisseriales; Neisseriaceae
Description: tRNA-Lys(ttt)
Rfam family: tRNA
About the family: Transfer RNA (tRNA) molecules are approximately 80 nucleotides in length. Their secondary structure includes four short double-helical elements and three loops (D, anti-codon, and T loops).
Source: RNAcentral